UGGUAGAUGCACCCUGAUUAUUCGUCCCGAACUUAUCUUAUGGUAAGUUGGGACUUUUUAU
This 61-nucleotide small RNA is filed under the name Chamaesiphon minutus PCC 6605. RNAcentral's name for it is "Nitrogen stress-induced RNA 1". It matches the Rfam family "Nitrogen stress-induced RNA 1". The record is from Rfam by way of RNAcentral. Lineage: Bacteria; Bacillati; Cyanobacteriota; Cyanophyceae; Gomontiellales; Chamaesiphonaceae.